This 301-nucleotide ribosomal RNA is filed under the name uncultured bacterium. RNAcentral's name for it is "partial 16S ribosomal RNA". It matches the Rfam family "Bacterial small subunit ribosomal RNA", at positions 509 to 807 of the family's 1533-position model. The record is from RNAcentral.
CAGUAGCCGCGGUAAUACGUAGGGUGCGAGCGUUAAUCGGAAUUACUGGGCGUAAAGGGCUCGCAGGCGGUUUCUUAAGUCUGAUGUGAAAGCCCCCGGCUCAACCGGGGAGGGUCAUUGGAAACUGGGAAACUUGAGUGCAGAAGAGGAGAGUGGAAUUCCGCGUGUAGCGGUGAAAUGCGUAGAGAUGUGGAGGAACACCAGUGGCGAAGGCGACUCUCUGGUCUGUAACUGACGCUGAGGAGCGAAAGCGUGGGGAGCGAACAGGAUUAGAUACCCCGGUAGUCCCUGUCUCUUAUAC